AAUAAAUCAAGUGAGUUUUUGUGAUCCCUAUAAGCAAAAACAUACUUCAGUUAUGAUGGAUUGUGUUAGAGAGUAAAUUAGAUUGCAUGGAGGCUAAGUACUAAUGUUGAUAUUUACAGUGCUUAAAUAUAUUGUCUGCCUCCUCUAAAUGCAGCUCAUUCAUUGGCUUUAUGUUGUGGAGGAAAUAUCAGAAUAAUGACCUGGGUUUUUUUUUUCUGUCUUUAUAGUUUAAUAUCAUGCAACUGUUUAUUAAUAAGCUCCAAACCCCAAAGGAUCCU
Molecule: long non-coding RNA, 278 nt
Filed under: Homo sapiens (human)
Lineage: Eukaryota; Metazoa; Chordata; Mammalia; Primates; Hominidae
Description: HSALNT0227244
Source: RNAcentral